CGAACCUGCACGAUUACGCACUCGGGAAUACCAACGCUCGGGUCAGAAUUCAGAGGUUGCCUCACCGUGAGUUAUGCACAACGCGAAACACAUUUGCCGUGAUCCAAGCAAGAAAGAUCUCGCGAGGAUUACCGAGACCCGGCGUGGGCGGGCGGCGUGCGCCGUGCGGCUGGUGUCGUGGGCGUGCCCGGCGUGCGGCCAGUCGUUCUUGGCUCCAUUUCUUAAAUCCGAUCAUUUAGGGAGUUUUUGGUUGGUUUGAUUCGUGUAAAGACAUGUGUUGAUGUUACUUCAUGAGUGAAUUUGAUUGAAUCAACACGAGCACGAAGAAUCGAACCAAUUUUGUUUUGGGGAGAAAAACUACAUUCUUGCACAUGAUCUGAAAUUCCUGGAGUUUGAGUUCAAAUUGAGCCAUGACGCUUUCAGGAUAGCUUACCAACUCCAUAGAGAUCACCUGGCAAAGUUUGGGAGACAUUCCUUUUGAUUUGAUCAAGUUUGGGGCGUUUUUCUUUUUAUCCCGUCUCUCUUCUCUUCUGGCUUCCUCAUCUGUUCGUUGCUCGGCAGAGCAGAGCUGUGGCCGGCGCGAGCAGGACGACCAUCCAGCGAGGGAGUGCGGCAGCUAUCAUCCCAUCUCCGACAUUUACGAUUGCAUCGCGGUACAGUAUAUGGACUAUUACGUUCUACCUCCUGUAGUCCAGUUUGUAAAGAUGGGUUCGUUUCAGCUAUUUUGGCCGAUUGCAGCUGCUAAGCCAUUUGGCUGUAAACCUAAGCACCUGCGGUUACAAAUCAAAGACCAAACGUGCAGCCGCAGCGCUGCAGCAGCAUUAGUGCCGAACAGAGACAUGCAUGGAAAAAUAACAUCUUUGAGUUAGAAGCAAGGAAAAAUGACAAGCGUUGAUUCUCUUGACAUGUUUAGUUAUUACCCAAAUAUUCUCGACUUUUCUCGAAACUAAGCAUUGGAACUCAAGCUCUGGCACAAUGAAAGCUAACUAAGCAUUGCAACUCAAGCUCGGCCUAGGGCAGUAGGCGGCCUCAAGGUCCUCAACAUCGACGCUUGAGCUCCAGGUCUGUGCAUUUGCCUCCACCCUUGCAUUUGGUUCAGACACUACGUCAAGAUGGCCUUGCGGAAGGCUGUCGCGCUCCUUCCUGAGCAUGCAGUCGUUGCAUAUACAACGAGCCGUGCAACAAGAGUGGAUAUCAUGCGCACCCGGGCGCAUCGACGUGUUAAUAGAUGAACACAUUCGUGCAAUUGCCUGAAUUGGAGGCCAUGUUUCCUACGAGUCAGCUGUUUGCUACCAAUGAUCCUUGAGAGACUCUCUGACAGAGGGAGGCUGAGGAACAAGUAGAACGACAACGACUGAAGAAGCAGUGGUUGUAAUUACCCAUUUCAUGUCACAUUUCAAAUGAAGCUCAAUUACAGUUGCUGGGAUGGAACUGGGCAUAGGAGAGCUACCCAGCAGAGAUUCUUGGCUUCUGCAAUUUUAUCUCACAUUCUUCUGAAGAGCAAUCUUUACGGGCAGCUGCUGUGCAAGAGUAUCUGAUGUUUUCAAACAUAUAUGACCUCACUGCUGUGUUGGAGAAUAGAUAGCUUUGAACUAUUUGGUGAUCAUUCCCAGUUUUGCAUGGCACGUGGAAGUCUUUGGAUCUUUGAGAAAAUGGCUCUAUCUAUCCACAAGUGAUAUCGAUGGUUCUAUCUUCUAUUAGCAGAUUGGAUGAGGAAAGGUUUAUCCCGUUAUGAUUGUGUGCUCUACAAUUAAAUACUGAUGCUAACAUGAAUGGUGGGACAAUAAACUUUAGUAUGGCAUUAAGAACUUCCAUAAUGCAAUGGUGUUUGCUUGAAGUACAUUGAUGUAUUAUUUCCUUUUGCUUGAAGUAAAUCGAUGUAUUGUUUCCUUCCGAACUUCCAUAAUGCAAUGGUCUCUGCCAUUUGUAUCUAAAAGAAUUUAAAAUUACUUAAGAAAAUGGCUAA
Long non-coding RNA from Panicum virgatum (switchgrass), 1966 nucleotides. RefSeq lists it as uncharacterized. The transcript is spliced from 8 exons. Lineage: Eukaryota; Viridiplantae; Streptophyta; Magnoliopsida; Poales; Poaceae. The record is from RefSeq and is a predicted model, not a curated record.